This 492-nucleotide ribosomal RNA is filed under the name uncultured bacterium. RNAcentral describes it as "partial 16S ribosomal RNA". It matches the Rfam family "Bacterial small subunit ribosomal RNA", at positions 29 to 507 of the family's 1533-position model. The record is from RNAcentral.
AGUGAACGCUGGCGGUAGGCCUAACACAUGCAAGUCGAACGGCAGCACAGUAAGAGCUUGCUCUUACGGGUGGCGAGUGGCGGACGGGUGAGGAAUACAUCGGAAUCUACUUUUUCGUGGGGGAUAACGUAGGGAAACUUACGCUAAUACCGCAUACGACCUACGGGUGAAAGCAGGGGAUCUUCGGACCUUGCGCGAGUGAAUGAGCCGAUGUCGGAUUAGCUAGUUGGCGGGGUAAAGGCCCACCAAGGCGACGAUCCGUAGCUGGUCUGAGAGGAUGAUCGGCCACACUGGAACUGAGACACGGUCCAGACUCCUACGGGAGGCAGCAGUGGGGAAUAUUGGACAAUGGGCGCAAGCCUGAUCCAGCCAUACCGCGUGGGUGAAGAAGGCCUUCGGGUUGUAAAGCCCUUUUGUUGGGAAAGAAAAGCAGCAGGUUAAUACCCCGCUGUUCUGACGGUACCCAAAGAAUAAGCACCGGCUAACUUCGUG